UACGUAGGGACCGAGCGUUGUCCGGAAUCAUUGGGCGUAAAGAGCGUGUAGGCGGCCACUUAAGUCCUGCGUGAAAUCUUGCGGCUCAACCGCAAGCGGUCGUGGGAAACUGGGUGGCUAGAGUGCGGGAGAGGAGAGUGGAAUUCCUGGUGUAGCGGUGGAAUGCGCAGAUAUCAGGAAGAACACCCGUGGCGAAGGCGGCUCUCUGGAACGCAACUGACGCUGAGACGCAAAAAGCGUGGGGAGCAAACAGG
This 254-nucleotide ribosomal RNA is filed under the name uncultured bacterium. RNAcentral's name for it is "partial 16S ribosomal RNA". It matches the Rfam family "Bacterial small subunit ribosomal RNA", at positions 524 to 776 of the family's 1533-position model. The record is from RNAcentral.